Molecule: ribosomal RNA, 236 nt
Filed under: uncultured bacterium
Lineage: Bacteria
Description: partial 16S ribosomal RNA
Rfam family: Bacterial small subunit ribosomal RNA
Source: RNAcentral
GAUCAUGGCUCAGGAUGAACGCUAGCGGCAGGCUUAACACAUGCAAGUCGAGGGGCAGCAUAAUGGAUAGCAAUAUCUACGGUGGCGACCGGCGCACGGGUGCGUAACGCGUAUGCAACCUACUUUUAACAGGGGGAUAACACUGAGAAAUUGGUACUAAUACCCCAUAAUAUCAUAGAAGGCAUCUUUUAUGGUUGAAAAUUCCGAUGGUUAGAGAUGGGCAUGCGUUGUAUUAG